This 278-nucleotide ribosomal RNA is filed under the name Staphylococcus aureus. RNAcentral describes it as "partial 16S ribosomal RNA". It matches the Rfam family "Bacterial small subunit ribosomal RNA", at positions 496 to 773 of the family's 1533-position model. Lineage: Bacteria; Bacillati; Bacillota; Bacilli; Caryophanales; Staphylococcaceae. The record is from RNAcentral.
GCUAACUACGUGCCAGCAGCCGCGGUAAUACGUAGGUGGCAAGCGUUAUCCGGAAUUAUUGGGCGUAAAGCGCGCGUAGGCGGUUUUUUAAGUCUGAUGUGAAAGCCCACGGCUCAACCGUGGAGGGUCAUUGGAAACUGGAAAACUUGAGUGCAGAAGAGGAAAGUGGAAUUCCAUGUGUAGCGGUGAAAUGCGCAGAGAUAUGGAGGAACACCAGUGGCGAAGGCGACUUUCUGGUCUGUAACUGACGCUGAUGUGCGAAAGCGUGGGGAUCAAAC